UGCUCGAAAGAGAGCCGUAACACAGGUGCUGCAUUGGCUGUCGUCAGCUCGUGUCGUGAGAUGUUGGGUUAAGUCCCGCAACGAGCGCAACCCUUGUCACUAGUUGCCAUCAUUUUAGUUGGGCACUCUAGUGAGACUGCCGGUGACAAACCGGAGGAAGGUGGGGAUGACGUCAAGUCCUCAUGGCCCUUAUGGGUAGGGCUUCACACGUCAUACAAUGGUCGGUACAGAGGGUUGCCAAGCCGCGAGGUGGAGCCAAUCCCUUAAAGCCGAUCGUAGUCCGGAUCGUAGUCUGCAACUCGACUACGUGAAGUCGGAAUCGCUAGUAAUCGCAGAUCAGCAUGCUGCGGUGAAUACGUUCCCGGGUCUU
RNAcentral lists this ribosomal RNA (370 nucleotides) under uncultured Methyloversatilis sp. RNAcentral's name for it is "bacterial SSU rRNA". It matches the Rfam family "Bacterial small subunit ribosomal RNA", at positions 1013 to 1382 of the family's 1533-position model. Lineage: Bacteria; Pseudomonadati; Pseudomonadota; Betaproteobacteria; Nitrosomonadales; Sterolibacteriaceae. The record is from RNAcentral.